This 421-nucleotide ribosomal RNA is filed under the name uncultured bacterium. RNAcentral's name for it is "bacterial SSU rRNA". It matches the Rfam family "Bacterial small subunit ribosomal RNA", at positions 917 to 1338 of the family's 1533-position model. The record is from RNAcentral.
GGGCCCGCACAAGCGGUGGAGUAUGUGGUUUAAUUCGAUGCAACGCGAAGAACCUUACCAGGGUUUGACAUCCUGCGAAUCUCUUGGAAACGAGAGAGUGCCUUCGGGAACGCAGUGACAGGUGGUGCAUGGCUGUCGUCAGCUCGUGUCGUGAGAUGUUGGGUUAAGUCCCGCAACGAGCGCAACCCACGUCGUUAGUUGCCAGCAGUUCGGCUGGGCACUCUAUGGAAACUGCCCGUGAUAAGCGGGAGGAAGGUGUGGAUGACGUCAAGUCCUCAUGGCCCUUACGGGUUGGGCUACACACGUGCUACAAUGCUACGGACAAAGGGCAGCAAACUCGCGAGAGCUAGCAAAUCCCAUAAACCGUGGCUCAGUUCAGAUCGUAGGCUGCAACUCGCCUACGUGAAGGAGGAAUCGCUAG